Molecule: long non-coding RNA, 18952 nt
Filed under: Gallus gallus (chicken)
Lineage: Eukaryota; Metazoa; Chordata; Aves; Galliformes; Phasianidae
Source: RNAcentral
UCCAGAUGGAGGAGGAUCUCUCUAACUGCCUCCACCUGAGUCACUGGGUGUGUAUUCUGCAUAGCAUUCCAGACUUCCAGGUCAGGGCAUAAAGUGCUCUGAGGAUAACUGAUCUGACUAUUAAAGGCACCCUGCAUACCUUAGCAACUUCCUUGUAGUCUACCCAGGUAACCUGUCCCUUCUUCUGGAGAAUAUAGGCUCUCAAAGUAUGUGUGCACCUGGGGCAGACUGCGGUAAAUAACAAAUUUGUACGGAUACCCGUGGCUGUUCCUCUACCACGAUGUUCAUCUGCCCAGUGGAGAUAUGAAAUACAAUGACAAACAAAAAAUGUUUAGUAAUAUGGCCUUUACUGCAGACUGUAUGCAAAUUAUAUGUGGUUAUCUCUUGGGGUUGUUUCUGUGUUGAUUAAUGAAAAUGUGUAGGUUAGGCUGUUAAGAAGCCUUGAUGGAAUUGGAACUUAUCUAGAGAUUUUUAUGCUCAAUCAGAUCAGACAACCUGGAUGGAGAGCUAUUUCUCCUUUCAGACAAUUGGAAAUUAAGAAGAAUUAGAAGGUAUAUAAUUUUUCUACCUGCAGGACUUAAAUCUAUAUGCUAUUACUGCUAUAAAUUUCUCUGAAGUUUUUUCAGUUGUUUGCCUUCUUCACUCUCAAAUGCAUUGGCAAAAUGAUGUAUAUACCUAUACGCCUCACGGUUACCAUCUUGCUGCACACUUCUGGGCUGUUGGAGUUACAGACAUUCCGAAGAACGAGUUUGUAAACUGAAGCAGUUAGUGGAAGGUGUUUCUAUGGCUGACAGAUUAGAUGUUGAUAUCAGGAAAGCAAAACUAAGAGAAGUGAAGUAGAAUGGUGUGAUGGUCUGAUUAUGACCUAGCUCAGAUGGCGCUGAAGAAGCGUAGACGUGACUACUGUGACUUUCUUAUUAUUUUUUGUAUAUGAAAGAGUCUUUGAAAGAAAGAGAUAAGCCUGCUCAACAUCUUUUUGUCUUUCUGUGGUAAAUAUGAGAAGACAGAUAACGACUGCUUCUUUACUUAGCAGCGCUUUCCAAAGACAUUAGAUGAGCUCCAUGACUGAAAGGCAGUGCUUGUAAUUUCUGGCUAUGAUUUCAAGGUAUUACCUGAUACCUGUGAAACUUGUUGCUGUCUGAGGUGGUUUAUUUCUUUGCCUGACAGCACAGCAACAAAGUUCAGAUGAGCUGGAAGUAAUCGUCUCUUCAUUUUGAGUAUGAAAAAACAGAAUGUGAGUAUGUUUUUCAUGAAGGUAUGAUGUCAGCUCUGCCACAUCUCUUUCAUAUUUGUUCUUGCAAUUGCAAAUUUGUUUUGACUUCACUGUUAUAAAAUGCACCUUUAAUCUGGGGUUUAUGCAAGGUGAGAUAGGAGAUAAGGUUAUGAUAGUGAGUCUUUGUUGAACUUUCUUGCUAGAGCUUUCUUAGAAUAUUUUAUUUAACUCUUGGUUUAUCUACAUGCAGAACAAAUUAUGAAAUAAUACCAAAGGGAUAUUUUUUAAACAAUACAAGUGGAAGUGUCAGAAAUCUUUAAUGUAAAAGCUAGGUUUUCUGAAGAAAAUACACAUGGAAGUGUAACAGUAUAACAGUGGCAGGAUGGAAAGCAUGAAGAAAAGAGAUUCAUCUUUACUUCAUCAUACUCAUAAAUAAAAAUCAAUACUGUAAUUUUUUGUCAUAUUUUCUGCCUUGAUGAUUAUUCACUCUCUUUCUUUUAUUAGCGAGCUGAAAAAAAUACUGUUUGAGUGUUUAUGCUGCUGCACAGGUCAGGUAGGUUGACUCUUGUGUUAACUUACUAAUUAUGCGUUGAAUGUGUAUCUGGUUCAGAAAGUUCUCAACUUGGGCAUAAAAUUUUAGCAUAGCAAUGGGCAUGAUUUGGCUCAUGUCUUUCUAAAGUACAGAAGAGCAGUUGUGGAGUCUUUAGCUCAGGAGGAAGAAGAACUGCUGGCACCCAGCAGCAGUUGUUUGUAAUACAUCUUCUUGGAGGAAAAGGAAUUUUUUCUUAGGCUCUAGUUGGGCUGCUGGUACUACUGAGUCUUACUAUAAUCUUUAUUUAACAAACAAACAAAAAAAAAGCACGUUAAAACAAUAAAAAAGUGCCUGCACUUCUGAUAAAUCAAAUUGAAUUUGUUCAUUGUUUGGAAUUCAGUCCAAACAUUUUUAAUAGAUUUUACUUAUCUGAAAAUUCAAAACCUUUGUUCUGGAUUGACCUAUGGCCUUUCUUCUAAUAAAGAGAAAAAGCAUCAUGUUGCUUCUACAAACACCCUGAAUAAUGGACAUUUAUUUGUUGAAUUAGUUUAAAUAAUUGUUUGCCUGUUUUCCCUCUUUCAGUGAUAUUGUUCUAAAUCAUCUGUUUUUUUUUUUUUUUUUUUUUUAAGUUUACUGAUAUUUUAUUCUGAUCAUUGUUUUAUUAAUACAAUAAGCGUAGCACAGUUUCCUUCUGUUAUGAGCAACUCAAUGUCCUCACUGUUCCGGCUCAUCUGAGAGACAAUGAGGUAGGUUGCUGUUAAGGCUUUCUUGAUGCUACUAAAUCUGUGGGAAAUUUGUCACAGAGUUAUCUAGAUAAAUCUGUGCUCGUGACAGGGGGGCAGUAGGCUCGUGGGCUCCUUGGCUUCCCGAAAAAAAACAGAGCAGUGGCAAUGAUCUAAGGAGGAGAACUUAUUUUACUAUGAUGUUGGAAUGCAAGAUGACAUGAUAAAAUACAAUCUAAUUGAAAGUAAGGAUAAUAAAUCAAAUGAAAUAAGAGAGAGAGAAAGAAAGAGUGUGUGUGAGAGAGAGAGAGAGAGUGAGAGAGUUUCCAAAACCGAAAGCCCUACUUGAUGAAGGCGCACGGCUUGGAAGCACACCCACUCCUCUCCCUGGCAGCAAGCAAAAGCGAAAGACCAUGCGCAACCAGAUGAUGUAUCUUCUGUGAUGUAUCUUCCUUCUCUGACCGUGAGGUCAUCUGGGAUAUGUAGUUCUACUUCUCUUUUGUCCAUAAUGUAAUGAUGUGGAAUACCAAUAGCAAAAUUACAAAACCAUGACAAAAUUGUAACUAACUCUAUUAUAAUCAGAUACACGCAUGCAUUACUUUUUGCUUUGAAGGCAUAACAAAAAGUUGUUUGUUCACAAAUAGUUAAAAGCAGUCAGAUGAAAUUGGAGGUGCUGCCAGAAUAUUCUUAAACCAUCAUCCCAGUUGGAUUUAAAUAAUUUGUUUUGUGUUCAUAUGUUUUGAUGCAAAUUAGGUGUAUAGCCUUCUCACAGCUUUUUCUUUAUCCUAGAUAGCAAUUAGGCUAGUUGAAGAUAGAAACUUGCUGGCUAGGAUAUUUCUCAGUUGAUCUCGAUAAAUAAACCACUUCUCUUAGAAUUACACACUCACUCUUUUGUGCUUUUACUGAGCAGUUAGUUGAGAAUAUUCAAAGAAGGUUGUAAGCCUGGCUUUGCCUGAGUCAGCUUUGAACUCUUGAUGGCUUGAGAGACUCAUCCUGAGCUUUGAAAGAAGUUGCCCUUUUCCUAUCUGCUAGUGACUGAACUGCCAGAAAACACUCUUCCACUUUGGUUGCUCUUAUUUCAGAAGUUCUGAGGGCUUUACUUUUGCAGCCCUGAUGGAAUUAAAGAAACAUUCCUCGUGUCAGCUAAAAGCUGAGAUUUAUCCUUCCACUUGCAUUUCUUGGAUUUUAAUAUAACAACAUCAUGUAUUCAUUUUUUUCCUACCAUUUUCUGUUUUCAGUUCUGGGUAUCCCUUUCCCCACUCUUCCCACUUCCUCUUAACUUAAUCGAUCUUCUAAUAUUUUUGCUGUGUGAAGAGUGCGCCUUUUUGUUUCUUUUCAGAGUAUAAGCAACAAGUCUCAGAGCCAGGGUUGCUGGAUAAGGAUUCUUAUCCUUAUGCAGCAUUCUUUGUUGGACUCCAUAAUGCACGAAUAGAGACUGAAAAGGAGUGGCUUUUGGCUGUUUUGCUGCUUCCGAUGUUCUGCAUCUACUUUGGGCUACAGCAAGACUUGUGGGCCAUAAGAAGUAGAGAAUGUCUGAUAACAGAAGAGUAUGUUCUUGAUUUCCCUAUCCCAGGUACAGAAACUGGGCUCGGGUAGGAUUGUUCCAAUUAACAUACUGACCUGGGAUCAAUUCAUGUAGAGGGUAUUCCUCAGGGCCUCUUCAAUAUGUUCUUCUGUCCUCAAUAUGAUGGGGAAACUGCCUCCUUGGAAUCUAGGACGCCAUCACUGACGUGAUAUAACAGCAGAUUUGGGCCAGUCUCCUCUCUGAGAAGAGGUGGUCCUGUGAAAGAUCUGAAAUCAAUCUUCAGUAGUGUGCAACCCCUAAGCAUUAUGAAAGAAUGGAGUUUCUCCCAGUUAAUCUUCAGAUUUGAGCAUUUUCUGUGAGAAAUGUGUAAAACCUGUCCAUACUAAUUCUGGCAGUAUGCAGAUGUCACAGACAGUCUUCAGCCUGAGUACAUUUCAUGUAGGCCUUACAUCGACAGCUUGAAGGAAUCUGGAAAAAGGCCAUCGCAUUGACUAGUAAUAUUAAACACUAAGGUAUACAAGCAUAGUGAUCUCCAGAGAUACCUUGAAAUCUAGAGGGAAUACACCCAUGUUAACUGCAUGACAGUGCCAGCAGGAUCUCUGUCAUGAGGAAACUGGAACUUGCCAGAUGUUAGUGUCUGAAAUACAUGCCACAUCCACAAGACAGCAGAAUGAUCACUCUGUCAGAGCAGAAGCCUCCAGUAUGUAAAACAUACAUUUACCAUCCAGCUGGACACAUUUUACAAGGAAGUUUAACCGUUUAAAAUGGAGGAAGUUUACAUUCUCCCACUUUCUGAUGAGGACAGUAAUGUAAACUGUGUCCCAUAGAAAUAAUAUGUACAAUAAUCAAAUAUGAGCUUAAAAUUAUUUUGAAGUAGAUUCUGUUGUUUAAGACCAUGCUGACAAUGGGGAGACUAAAUUAACUCAGAUGCCAAAAUACUUCAAUCACAAACAUAUGCUCAGUUUUGCAAGUUAAAUGAUUUCUAUUUCCUUCAGAAGAAGUGGUGGUCUAGCAGAGAAUUUGGGUGAGUCAGAAAAAGCGUUUCUGCUGUAAUAAUAAAAGCAGGGGAUAGAGAAACCUUGGUCAUCUCCCAUUGCUUUCUCUCUUCCUAAGUCCCUUUCUUUUUUUCUCACUCCUGUACUCUAAGAAACUCUUUUAUCUCUAAAUGUCCUCUCAUUCAGUGAUGUCUUUCACUUUGUGUAUCUCCAUGAGCAUCUCUGAUUGCCUGUGCCGUUCUUCUCCCCAAGAACAUCUCCCAAAUGCAAGAUCCCAAAAAUCCAGUUUGGGACGUUGUUCAUUUAAUAUUGGUUUCAUAUGCUAGGCAUAUCUUUAAAAAUCCUUAAUAAAAGGUAGAAAAAUCAGCAAACAAACUGAAAUAUAGGUAGUUGUUGGUACUGCCUUUUUGCUUCAUACAGAUGCCUUUUAGUUAGCCAGUGAAAAGCAUGACUGAAGCAAACUGAAGUGUUAGAAGUAUUAUCAAUUACAGUGGUGUAGCGGAAACUAAUGGCAUGCAUUUGUUUCUUUCUUCAGUUCUUUGGUUAGAAGAGCGGUAUACUGUAUCUAUAGAUCUGUCUUGAACAGUGAUUCUCAGUAAAGCUUUAAAAACUUCAAAAUCAUUGGAAAAGGAGUAGUUUGAAUUCGUAGGAAUGUGUUGUUUUCUGUCAUGACUGUUAUAGUGCUUUUCACUGUCCGUAAUAGAACUUCAGAACACCUGUGUAGUAAGAUUUCUUUUUGAAUAGUCUAUUUAAACAAUAAAUAAAAAAAAUUGCUUUCUGGUAUUCGGUUUAAAACAAAGCUUAAUCGUGCAUGACAUUGCAAUUAAAUGAUGAGAUAGAGAAUGAAUGAGGGCAGAAAGAGAUAAUCAAUGUAUAAAAGCCGUUAAUAAUCAUGCAAGUAUCUUACUACAAACCAGUAUGGAGGAUUCCUGGGAAGGAGCCUUUCAGACUAAACAGCUCAAAACUUGGGAGUGUUGUAUUAAGAUGAGUUUCCCAUAUAGUUUGCUAUACCUGGCUGCUGGGUAUUGAGACCUUGAACACAGCUGUAGCAGAGAUUCAAUAAGAAUAUGUAAUUCCAUGAGAGUAAUAUGAAGAUAAAUUCUUGGUAUUUGUGAAGUCCUUAAAUACAUCAGUGGGAAUACAUUAGAAAUGCUCACAAAGAAAAUAAUUAUUUUCUGUACAAGGUAGCUGCUUGUGUUUUAAUGUGUGGGGAUGUGUAUAAGGACAAAAAUAAGUUUCCAGUGAUCUCUGCAUUCACUGCAAUAGGCAAGAGUCCUGAUUAGGAAUAACAGUGUUUUACUGUUUAAUUAGAAAUAGUAUUGUGAUAUACAACAGUUGGAUUUAACAGGCUUCCUUAAGUCUGCCAUGUCUAUGCUUAGCAACUGUACCCAUCUCUUUGUAUGAUUUUUCCUAAUGCACUUUAAUAUUUGUGUGCUGUAUUUCCAACCCCAUAGUCAUGAUCACAGUCAAAGUCCUGUUGUAUUUAUAUGCAAAUAAACACAGUCUCUUUGCUGUUAACUGUUUAACAACUGAAACUUCUGGUACAGUAUUAAAUUAAAUUAAUUAAACAAAUUAAAGCUCUCAAGGAAAUCUGCAACGUUUUUAGCUGCUCCUAGAAUAACAAAGCCACAUUACAACUUUAGAUAGUGAUCUUUGCAUUCUUUUAAAGGGAUUUGAAUGGCAGAGACUUCACUGAAGAUAAAGCUCUAAGGAGUGUUAAAAGUGAAGGUUCCCCAUAAGAAUAAAAUUAACAUUUUUGGCAGGGAAUUGUGGGAAAAAUUAUGUGGAAUGUCUUAAAAUAUAUUUUCCUAGGAGAUAUUUACUGAUAAAAGGCUGCAGCCAUUAUGACGAAAAUAGUAUUGUUUUUUCUGAUUCAUUUUUCCUCCUCCUCUGCCUGGUAAAGUGCAAAAUCAAUAUAAAGAUAUAAAAAAAACCACAGCACUGUGGUGACUAGGAAAAAAAGAAAUCUGUUGAGCGUUAGCCAUAUUCAAAAGAAUAAUUAAGUUAUUGGAAGCGUUGUUUACACCAAAGGCCAGGCUAGUUUUCAGUACUGAUUUUUAGAUAAUCUAUCUUCCACAGUCAAAGAAAAGAAACGAAAAUAAUACCAGACUUCAAACACUUAACUUAUGAAGAAAGAUUAGCAGACUUAUUUUGAUCAAAAAACAAAAUAUAUUUCAUGGUGAUUUUUAGCAAAACUUCUGUAUUUAGGUAGGUGACAGCUUAUAUUUAACAAAUUCUUUAUUCUUGCAGGGAAAAAAAGGGGGAAAAUGAAAAGGGAUUAAGGAAGGCUGAAAAAAAUAUCUCAUGUGAAACAUUUUCACAUGUAGAGUAAUAAAUAUGUAGAAAAAUUAGUGGAAUGGUUAUUGAAGUUUGACACAUUGAUGGAUUCUAAAGGCAUCUGUGGAUAAAGGUAUCUGUUGCUGGGAUAGAAAGUUAUGGAAGUAAGGAAAGCAUAGAUAAAGUGGAGUGCUAAGCUUUUUUCCUUUUCUAGAAGUUUAAGUUCUUAAUAAAUGUAAGGGAAAUGCAUUUUAAGGAGGGAUAAGAGAAGAGAAGAGAAGAGAAGAGAAGAGAAGAGAAGAGAAGAGAAGAGAAGAGAAGAGAAGAGAAGAGAAGAGAAGAGAAGAGAAGAGAAGAGAAGAGAAGAGAAGAGAAGAGAAGAGAAGAGAAGAGAACCAUUCUAUUUUUCUUUCUGAAAAACAGCCCUAAGUGAUGAAAGCAAGUUUUGUACCUUGUGCGUCAUGUGCCUGCUCAGGCAUACUCCGUGCUGACACAUUCACUAUGCUUCAAUGACUGUAGCUUUUGCUGGCUAUGCAUAUAGAAAAAUUGUAUUGUAGUGCUUAACAUUUGUAGCUUCUUCCUAUUCGGGGGGAGCUUUUGUCCUCUUUUGCUUUGUUAGAAUUACCUGUGAUGUGAAUGUAACCACAGUGCACUUAAGUGUAUUGUCACUGGGAAAGGCAUGUGGGUUGCCUCAUGAAGCAUGCUCUCUUGAUUUCAGCAGUAAGUACACAACCAGUGUAGUCAGUAAUUUUUGCAUAUAAAAAAUCACUGGAAGAUGAGUCCUUCCAAUUCCGGAUUUUCUGUAGAGAAAACAUCUUACAUAUUUUAAUAAUUAUCUUUGCUGUUGGUGACAGGAAAUAUAAAAUGUGUGCAGGUUAAUUAGGGAAGCUUUCCCGCCUCAUGCAAGAAUCAUAACUGAGAAAACACUGAAGUAAAAGUUAUGGUAUAUUAGGUGCUUGAUAGUAUUUUCACAGCCAUAUGCUCUUUAUCCACCUCACAUCUACGGUAACUUAAAACAGCUUGCCCUUGAUUGCAGAGGGGCAAUGGGGAAUAAGCUACCUUAUAUUCUACCAUAGAUAGCUCUUUGUCGCCUGGCAGAUCUGGUGUCUCUUGCUCAGCUGGCAGAUCAAGCAAAGGAAAUGAGAUGGGAAGGAUGGAAAGAGCAGCCUGCCGAGUUAGCUUUGUUUGGUCCUUGCUGCUGUCCCUGAUCUGUUGGUCUUUUUUCUUUCCACCAAACUGCUGUGGUCAGCAGACCUCAAAGGUAGUCCUGGGAACUCUACGUAGUGAUGGCUGGCCUGCUGGAGAUGGGCUUGGUACUCAGAGUUGAUGUUCACAGAAGAUUUUUAACAGUUCAGUGAAAGAGAGGGGGGAGAGAGUGAAAGGGCAAAAUAACUAACCAUUAGUUUUGGAUUUACUAUGUUCCUACCUCCUUAACAGAAUUUAGUUUGUCUAACAGCCUUUCAGUGUCUAAAGGGGUGCUAUAAGAAAGAAGGGAACAGAUUCUUAGUGGGAUCUGUUGUGAUAGGACAAGAGGAAAUGGUUUCAUAUUGAGAAAAGGGAGAUUUAGAUUGGAUUUAAGGAAGAAAUUUUUUACAGUAAGUGUGGUGAAGCAGUGGAACAGAUUGCCCAGAGAGGUGGUAGGUGCUCCAUCACUAGAGACACCCAAGGUCAGGCUGAAUGAGGCUCUGAGUACCCGAUGAAGCUGUAGGUGUCCCUCUUCAUUUCAGGGGAGUUGGUCUGGAUGGCCUUAAAAGGGGCCCUUCAAAAUCAAAAGAUUCUAUGGUGAUUCUGUGAUUCUACUUCAUAAAGAUUUUCAAGAACAAGUUUCUGUACCUGCGUCCAUUUCAUGAGACUUAAGUAGCUCAGGACUAUCAUGACCUAUUUAGGAGUAAGCAAAACAGUAAUAAUUUGUAAGUACUAAGUCUCCCAUUCAGACUUCUGUAAAAGCUGAACUGCAUACUGGUUAUAGCUGUCUGCCACUUUUACUUGGUACUUCUUCUGAAUUUGAGAUGAAAUAAAAAUGAAGAUAAUGUUAAUAACAGUCAGUUAAUAAAUGCAUUUUUACCCCCACAUGAACUGAGGGAAAGUGGUAGCAUUCAUUUUUUUGUAGAGGCAUCUGAAUCAGAAUAGAUUUUAUCAUGUAUUUAAGUGAUUAAAUUUCUCUGUUCUGGCUGCUAAGUGAUUUGUUUUUUGCAGUGACAUAAGGGCAGAAGCAGUUUGCAGCCUGAGUGAUAAGACUGAAUGAUGCUGCAGAAGAUACAGAGUCAAUGUUUGUUUUGUUAUGCCUUUUUAUAAACUUCCAGUGAAACUCCUGUAAUUUUUUUUUUUCCAGAGAAAUAUGCUCAUCUUAUCCAUGCUUUGUGUUUUGUCCUUCAAAAAAAAAAAAAAAAAAAAAAAAAAAAAGGAAGGUCAUCAGGUACUACCUAAUUAGAUAUUGUCAUCAAUAAGCUUACAAAACGAUGACAAACAAAAGCGCUUUUCAGUGCUAUUCCUUUUUUCUCCUGUAGGUCAUACAUGUGCCAUCCAUGGUCUCUUUCCUUUGCCGUACAGUUACAUAGUGGGAGGAUUAUGAUGCUUUUUAAAAUUUGUUUAUGUUUGAGUUUCUGGUUUGUAGAAUAGACUGGCCUGGCCUGUAGUUCAUCAGCAGUGUGUUCUCUUUAAGACAUGGAGCUGUCUCCUGGCUGCAGGUGCUACUGCUGGUAGGACCUAAUUUCUGCCUUUUCAGCUGCUAUGUAUAAACUCAAAGUUAAAAACUAAAAGCAAUUACAAUUAAAAUAUUUUUCUUCUUGUAUUAGAACACAGACAUAUUUCUACUGCAGAUUGAAAAAUAAAUUUGCUUAACUGAGUGCAGGUGGAGAUUUUAAAAUUGUAAAAUCUGGAUAUUUAACACUCAUUUAAUUUAGUUUGCUAUGUUUUUAGAACUUUGAACCUUACCUCAAAAUGUAAUUAACGUGAUAACUGCUAUAAAAAGUAGCACAAAAUACAUUGCAGUACAAUUCAGAGGUUUUGAAUUAACUAGCUGUAAUGAAUGAUGUAGAAAUGCUGUGUGAAUAAGAGUGCAGUGAAACUUCUAUGGAUUACAACAAGAUAUGCAGAUACAAUUCACAAAGAAAUCCAAAAUUACAUUAUUUAAAUGGGCUAGUGUGUUUGUGGAAAUGAGGGCAUGGUUGAGUUCAAAUCUCUUGAAGAAACUCAUUGCAUUUGUGAACCUCUGGCCUUAUUUGUGUCUUCCCAUUGGUUACAUAGUAAGGGUCUAGAUAUCUGUGAGGAAUUCCCAGAUUAUAGUCACAUCAUUUAGACUUAAGAAAGGUCUUUAAAAUAUUUUGUUAGCUGUUCAUAUCUGCUGGAAAUCACUACUUAGUCCAGCAUCAUGCUAAUUAAUUUUACACCAGACUUUACCAUUCUUACUCAUACUGUGGAGGUAAUCUAUCAUCACGCUAAAGCAAGGGAAAUUCAAUCCAUCACUGCCGGAUUCCGAUGCAGGGCUGCAAGGGGGAUACAAGUCAUCUUCCUGGUAGUAAUCAAACAGCUGUGAUACAUGCCACUUUAAGCUUGUAUCAUCCUGUAAUAAAUAGUUUUCUUCUACAUGGAGUCUGCUACAAAAUUUUCUGACAGAUGGACUGUUUUCCAGAGGUUUCAUUUUGUGGAUUUUAAAGCUGUGAACUGGUUAUAGACAAAUACUACAUCAUCAGUUCCAGUUGAAGACACAGACUAAUAAGUGGAACAUUGGCACUAAUCCUUAUUUAAUCAGCCUUAAAAUGGUAAUUUCAAAUUGAUGAGGGCAUAGGGAAUAGAUUUUAUACAUCUAAAGUGCUACUAAAAAUACCAGGGAUAUGCAUAUACAACCCAAGGAUGAAAUUAAAGUGCAUUCUGCAUGUAUGGUGAGUGAAGCAUGCUAUAGAAAGCUAAGGUCAGAGCCAUGAUGGGACCAAAGAAUUCCUUGUUUUGAAAACAAUGCACUCCCACUCUGAGUUUCAGUACUGGAUGGUUGUGGGAGCGUUGUUGCUUUACUUUUUUCUUUUGCUUUCAGUUAUGCUACCUGAUUCACUUCAAAAAGCUGUUGAUGCAUUCUAAAGCAUUAAGAAGCUUUAAUAAAAAUAAAUAAAAACAACAACACAAAACUCUGUCUGGCUAAAGCUUCAGAACUCAAGAAACCAAAUUCAAUUAGCCAUUUAAUCUAGAUUCAGUAUUGACAGUAAUAUGUCAGUCUACAUUAUGGUAUAUUUGGAAAAGCUGAAGCUGAUAGUUAACUCCUAGGUUGUAUGAUAUUAGUCUUGUAUGAUGCAUUUGUCUUUCAAACUGUUGGAAAACUUCACAGAUUCUUAAACAUGACCAAGUAGGUGUUCAUAUGAAAGUGGAAAUGCUUUCUAACCACUUGCAAACUUUCAACAGAAAGAAACAUUACAGCAGUGGAAGGUUGAUUAUCUGUUCAGAUUGAGUGCUCAAAAUAUUUUGUAAGCCUUACUGGUCACAUUUGCAAACAUCAAUCUCAGUCUGUUUUAAGGUUCAGUUAGCUGAGCCAUGUAACAAGUGUAGAAGUAUUUAAUGUUUUGUGAUCUUUUGUUUUUUUGCUGUGGUUUUUAGUUUAAGUUUUCGACUUCAGUCUUAUGCUGGAAAUUACAUUCAAUGAAAGCUGGACGUAGAAACGUAAAUGAGCACCAAAUAAAAUGGUGCCCAUAAGACAUUUAAAAGAUGGUAUUUGCUUCAUCUGUAAUAUUUAUCUUUGGUCUCCUAUGCAUGAUAUAUUAAAAUAAAUACAUAAAUGUUAAUAAGAAUAGAGGCUUUAGUCUAAUUUUCAGAUGGAAAAAUUAAAGCUGUUGAUUUGACAUAACCAUUCAACUUGUUACUCCAUGAAAGAUUACCACCUGAAUUCAGUGAAUGAUUUACAAAUCAUCUAAUACUAUACCUAGUGUAGCUUCUGCAUCCUUAACUGGCAACAGCAUAUAUACUAGUAGAAAUUAAAAUGCUAUUACUCAUUGUUACAAGUUCCUAAUGGAUAGAUCUCCAUAGCAAUGACUAUAAGGUGAGUAGAGAAGUUGCUCAGACAUGUCAUUUAUAAACAUUAAGUAGUAUUUACUGGGUUCAAGCUUUUGAGAAAGCUUCCGAAUUGCUGCAUGAAAAGGCUUCUUAUAAUCUGAAAUAGAUAAAGCAGCUGCUAGAAGUGUAGCACAGUGCCUGCUGGUAAGGAAGAGGCUUUUAUUCUAGAUAAUGUACUAUAUGGAAACUGCCAGAGAGAUCUGGCUCACCUUCAGUCAGGAAGUAUCUCUAUCAAGAUAAGAUGAUCUCAGGUGUUCUCAUAGUUUCUCUUGUAGCCUUAGAGGGUAGGCUACCACCUGUCUGGUGUUGUUGUCACAUGAGUAACUUUCAAGAACUGCGUAUGUUCCUGAUUAGUUAUCUGGGAGCAAUACUAUGAAUAUUAUUUGCUGUUUUUUUUUUUUUUUCCUUUUAUCACUGUGUAAGUGUACAUCUCUGCAAUGUGUUAAGAGAAAGAAUGUGUUUUUGUUGGUGUUUAUAGUCUUCAGUGUAGAUUCAGUGAAGUCAGUAAUUUCUUUUUCUUCACUGGGAAACCUUUAAUUCUGUUUUCACAUUCUUAAUCUAUAACUUCUUGGCUCAACUGUUUUGUUUUUGCUAUUGUUUUUCUUUUUUUGAGAUCUCUCCUACAAUAAAGCUAGACAGAGUUGUUUUAGAAAAAUGUGUGAAUCAUUUUUACUCAUGCUGAAAGUGGUUUAAAUUUAGAUGAAAAUAUCAGUGGAAAGCUUGAGUGCUAAAUAAAUGCACAUCUCUUAAGUACACACACUUUUAGCUCUUGUCUGAGGAAAAGUUGGGAUAACAGAUGAAAUGUAAGAGAAGAGAUGACUUAUUAGAAUGAGCGUUCAUUUAAUGUGUCAUUGUAACUAAUACUCUGAAGAGUUCACUUAUCAGCCAAAGACAUCUAUGCCUUUCAUGUGUGUUAGUUCUAAAGACAUUAAUAGAAACCUCAAUAAUUAGAGGAGGUGAAAUUUGGAUGUCCUGGAAAGUGGAUUUAUGGUGUGUGUAUAUAAAUUUUGUCUCACUGAAAGAGUGUUUUUUUAAUGGCAAUUCAUGUAAUUCUUGCUGUAAAUGCUAGAUAUAGUAAGUUGUUCCAGAGAAAACAAUAGACUAAUUUAUAUGUUUUUAAACAUCAGCAAAAUAAUCUCUUUCAGCAGCACUGGUGUAGUAUCAGUAUAAUUAGAUGAGUCACUAACUGAUUGUCAUAAGCCUGACUGUCAGUAUUAAAUAAUUAAAAAGAUGUUGACAAUAUUAACACUAGAUUUUUUAAAUCAAGUUUCUAAAAGUAUUUUGGAAACUACCUAGAUUUGAUUUCAAAUAAACAGUAUUGUUUCUGCAGAAUUUCCACAGACAUUUCUAAUGCACUUCGACAGGUCUUGACCAUCAUCUCAAGCCCUCUGACAUUUGGAUGGUUAUUGCCACUGCAACAGUAUGAUUAUGGAGGAAGCACCAAUAGUCACAGUGUAAUUAGAGCUGCACAAAAAGUAACAGAAGAGUUUAGGGAGAGUUCAGGAGAAAAAUUUUAGAUGGGAUUUGAAAUGGCAGAAGUUAUAUUUAGUAUUUUUGCUUCACUUAACUGAGUAUACAUUCUGUGAAAUGAAGGAGGAAGUGAAAACCAAUUUACAGGAUACAUUACUUGAUGAGCUGGUAUUUAAUUAUUGGAUUACCUUUCUGUUUCUUUCUGUUGGUCACUCAGGAAAUCUGUAAAUACCAAAUGUUAUUUUGGUUGUAUAUCAUUGGUGAGAUUUUCUUUUUCAAAUGAUGGAAGUUCUGGGAAAAAAUGUCAUGUAAAACAUGAUUUUGUGGGACACACAGCCCUUAAUAUAUUUUUUUAAUUGUUAUUAUUAUUAUUUUGGUCUAAAAGCCACUGUGUAGAGUUCUCCUGGCACUUCUGAAUUAGAGGAGUUUUCUGAGCUGCAAGGGCAAGGGGAUUGAAUGGGCUGUCAGGUAUUGGACAGCUCAUGAGGGAGAAAAUAGGAGAACUGAAACAGAAGAGAGAUACAGUUUUGUAUUAUCUUCUGUGUAUCUGGAGGAAUAAAUUGUGUUUUUACUCCAUGCUUCAUGUUUCAGUAAGUGAGAAUCCAUACUGUAAGAUAAUUCAGCAACGUAUGGGAAAAGCUUCAUACAUCAGGCAUCUUCUUAGCAGCAAUCCAUCAGUAGCUUGAAGCUCAGUUGCUUCUUACAGGCUGGUGCUGUUGGUAGUAGUGAAUGUGGAAAAUGUACUUCAUGAACAUUUAUAUUUAAAUGAAUAGCCACUUAUAAAAUGUCCACGUCAUUUGACUUUAUGCCUACUCCAUCCUUUGAAUACUUGUAAAAGUGCAUUGUAAUACUACUGCUCAGCUUCCAUACUGAGCACUUUAACUGCUUCAAAGAUCAGAAGAGACAUAACUUCCAUUUUCAUCAGUAGUAAUUUUUGCUCUUUAGAUAUAUGAGCAAUGUAUACAUGUUUUUUGUCUAUGUGCAACUCUACACAAAUGUAUUUUAGAAAUUUCAAAUUAUAAUCUACUUAGAAGGGGAAAAUAAUAAUAUAGAAAACAACCAAUGAAACAAUGACAACAAAUCCACAAGUUCUUCCCUGUAUUAUCUCUACUGAGAGGUUAAUCUUUUCUAUAUUAAUCUAUAAGAGCCAGCAGAUUCUUUUGUCUUCUGAGAGUCAACUUCUAGGGGCUGUGAGGAACAGUGCUCAUCCAUGUGACAGUACAGACUCUUAUGAAAUAAGAAGUGAGAAGGAUGAUCCUAAUAGCAAAACAGCAAAUAAAUAAAUAAAUAAAUAAAUAAAUAGAGAGAAAAUGCUGUGAAAUAUAAUUAACCACAAAUCAGCAUAUCACAUAUCUGAAUUCCACAGCCAAUAUCUCAGCCCAAUAAGGUUCCCUUUCCAUCUCAACUUUACCUCUUGCCUCUUACUUGUUCACCUUCUACAUGAAAACUGCAAAAAGGUAGUAAGCUAUAGUCAUGGAAACCUGAAAGAUUUACAGGAGAAUGAAACUCAUUUAGUCAUAACAAAAAAAAUAAUAAUAAUAAUAAUCAUGUCUUGGGGAGGGUUGAGGGUUGCAGAUGAUGUAGUGUCUUCCUGGUGGAUCUGAUAAGUUUUAUUAAAGUGUUAUUAUUAAACCAUGAAACUAUGGCUAUUUCUUGUUUUUAAUAAUGUCAUAUUAGAGUUUUUGUUUGUUUUAAGGAGGCAUUAAUUUCCUCUUACUCCACUUAUUUUUUUUUAUUUGUAUUAAAUCAAGGAUUUUGUUCAGAACAACAGGAUAUAUAUAAAACUAAAAAUUCUCUGUUCAGAUUUUCUUUGAUUCUUAACCUUCAACAACUUUUUAAGUUUAGUUUCAGAAAUCUACAAGUGGAUUCCAUAAUAUGGAAUGCACUAAUGAAAAGGUAAGUGUAGGUAUAGCGUGUCAUACAUGUAGAUUAUCACUGAUAGACAGAUCACAGCCUAGAUAUCCUCCAACAAUACAGAAGAAGCAAAUGAGAUGCUGUGUGCUGUUUUCAAAUGUGUAAAUCUGUUCUUUAAUAUCUUGGUUCUAGAUCUGAAAAAAAUACUUGAGCAAAGUUGAAUUACGAGAGUGAGAAAUUGUUUCAAUUUUAGAUAAAAGUUGUGCUUGAUGCUGUUUUAAUGCAUGUUUCAAUGUGACCAUUGCUUUAAUAGAAAUAAUAUUCCAGGUUAGUAGAAGUAUAAUAACUAGGAAGAGAGAGAUAUCAUAUGAAUAGGUAAUUACCGUUCUAUCAAUUUCAUAAGUAAUUGUUAAACAGCAGUAACCAGUUUUGUUUUGUUUUAUUUUUCUAAGCGCUAUUGAAGAUAAUCUGUUGAGGUAUGACCUGGCUUCCAUAUAAAGGUCAUAGUUAAUUAGAAAAACAAGUUAAGAUUUUUCCUAACUUACAGCUAGGGAUAGGAAGCUGAGCAGAAAGCUGUAGUCUUGAAUAGAAAAGUAUAUUUUUAUGUAUGUUACACGCAUUUAUGCAUUAUUAUAUAAUAAUAUAUAAUAUAGAGUGUUUUGCAUACAAAUAUAAUGACAAUAAAAGGGAACAUGUAAAGAGUGCUUCAUAUGGUUCAAAAAACAUUAUCAGAAAUUGCUAGCAAUUAGAACUAAAAACAAACAUUUAGUAAAGUCUCACUGCAUUUGAAAGUGCUUAAUACUGAAUGGUGAAUUUUAACAUUCCAUUAACUAGAAAAUAACAACAAUUUAGGCAAUUGUGCCAGUAGAUGGAUUUGUACUUUGUGAUGCAUGAGGUAGGCACUCAAGAGAAUUGUUUCACUUUGACUCAUUUCUGAUUCUACCUUGAAUCGCCUUCCCAAGGCAACUCUACUCUUCUUAUUGAGUUAUUUAUUCGGUUAGCUGACAGUGUCUGAGAGGACAAUGAAAUAAAAGGGUACAAAUGGGCUGAUAUCUACAUAGGGAUGGAGUUAAUGUUUUUUUUGUUUGUUUGUUUGUUUUUCAUUUUGAGAUCUCUAUUAAUGGAGGAAUAUUUUUCUGUAGAAUUAUUUUGCUGUUGAAACAAAAAAUAAAUUUUUAGUUAGGACAUGUUACAAGAUACUGGCAAGUAUCCGGGCUUUUGGAAAGUUUGAGAAGCAUAAAGCCAGCAUUAAAAGGACAUUUGAUACUGAGAAACAACAUAAUGGAGGAAAUAAGAUCUUAUAUGCAAAUUCUUGCUCUGGAAGUACUCACUGCAGAUAGCCCAUGCUAUCUUUUCUUUUCAACAAGUUUAGUGAAGUUAUCUUGUAAAGUUAUUAGAAUAGCACAUACUGAGGGUAUAAUUAAGGUAAAAUAAUAUUAGUAUGAUAGUUUACAUAAAACCUAAAAUGUAGAGAAUUUAAAAGCUUUUAAUUUAGACACAUCAAAGUAUUUUUGUCCUCUAGUAAAUAUUGAUUACUUACUUUUAGUAAUUAUUUUGCUUUUACAACAUUUAAGAAUUUCUUUUGCAAUGAAAUUAAAUAAAAAAAAAAAUCCAACAUAUACCCAGCAGAUACCUGUGUAAUUAUGAAUGUCAUUAAUCUCAAGAUAUAGAUCAGAUUUUAAGUCCAGAAUUAAAUUUUGAAGUUUAAGAUUGACUUAGUCUUUAUUCUGCUGUAGUAGCACUGUCUACAUAAAAAUAUGAAGUUUAGAAUUGGUUUAUUGUUGGAUUCACAACUUCUUCAAAAUCAAACUUUAUUUGCAGUUAAGAACUAUUAUUGGAGACAUGAUAAAUUCUGACAACUUACUAGUAUAUCAAAUGUGUAGGAAAUAUGAAUGACCAGUCAUUUUUUUUCUCCACAAAUUCCAGUACAAAAAACAUAGAAAGGAAGAAUGAAAGGGAAAAAACGAAUCUGCAUGUAAUGCCAAAGCUUUAUAGUAUCACUAAGAGAAUGCAUGCUCUAGCCUAUUGUCUCUGGUUUCUUUCAUCUUUCUUUUUGGAUGAUUGCUCAGAUUUAAAAGAAUUCUGUGAUGGAUAUUCAGAAAGCUUGUUAGUGUUCAGCUGCAGAUUGCAAAGAAUUGUGGUACAACAAACUUGUGGGCAGGAGAAAAUAUAGAAUUAGAAAAGAAAUGUGGGCACUGAAAAGAUUACAUUUAGAAUUAUAACCUGUGUACUUUAAAUAUUGUCUCAGGGAAAUCAAGACUUGCUAAAAGUAUAUGCCUCUGUUUUCUUCAAAAUUGAGGUACAGUUUUGAUGCUUUUGUACUAUUUUUUUUUUCCUGUGGUUAGUUUUGGUUAUGUGAAUAUUUUUGUUAAAUAAUAUUAGUCAGUGAUUAUUCCUGAAUUGGCAAUUUUAUUCAUAAUGUGAGAGUUAAAUAUAUUUAUUUAGCCUGAUGAUAGAAUAUCAGUACAGCGUACUGCCAAGAGAGAGACCAGCUGCCAGAUCAAUUAUCUGUGUUUCUUUGCCUCUUCUGGGGAAAGCAAAGCAAAGCUGUUUGGCCAGUGGAGAAGGCUGAACAGAUUUAAUUUCUCUACUGCAGUUCAGUAGAUAGUUUUUGUACUUGAAAUGGCUGUCUCAAGUUUAAAGUGAGAAUCUUGCAAAGCAUAUGUUUUUUUUCUUGUUUGUUUGUUUUACAUACAUUUUACCUAGUAAGAUAAAUGUUCCAUCAGUACACAAAGCACUGGAAAUGCAAGACAAAGCUCAAAGAUAAUGAAGAUAUUAUGUCUUUCUCUGAGAGUAUCCACUUUACAUGAUAGACGUUAACUUUGAUGAAAAAUGAGUAAAUGCUUGUAUGCAUUUUCAAAAUGCUGAAGAAAUAAGGGACUUAUCCAACUACUGUCAUGUAAUAGUACCACUUCUACAUGGUGUAGAUAUAAAUAAGUCAAUUAGCAUGAAACAGCAUGAACCUGCUGAAUUUCCACAGUGCCUGUACAUUUUGAUCUGCAAUAUGGUCAACCAGGGGAUCUGGCCCAGUCAGCAUAGGUUCAUGAACUGUAGAUUGUGUUUGACAAACCUGACUUCAUUUUAUGAUAAGGUGAUCCGCUUAGUGGAUGAAGGUGAGGAUGUUGCUAUGGUCUAACUGGACUUAAGUAAAGCCUUUCAUAGAAUCAUAGAAUUGCUCAGGUUGGAAAAGACCUUAAAGAUCAUUGAGUCCAACCGCAACCUAACCAUACUAUCCUAACUCUAACCACCCUCUGCUAAAUCAUGUCCCUGAGCACCACAUCCAGAUGGUUUUUAAACAUAUUCAGGGAUAGUGACUCAGUCACCUCC